RNAcentral lists this ribosomal RNA (402 nucleotides) under uncultured bacterium. Its description in RNAcentral is "bacterial SSU rRNA". It matches the Rfam family "Bacterial small subunit ribosomal RNA", at positions 30 to 429 of the family's 1533-position model. The record is from RNAcentral.
AUUGAACGCUGGCGGCAUGCCUUACACAUGCAAGUCGAACGGCAGCAUGGAAGAGCUCGCUCUUCUGAUGGCGAGUGGCGAACGGGUGAGUAAAGCAUCGGAACGUACCGUGUAGUGGGGAUAACGUAGCGAAAGUUACGCUAAUACCGCAUACGCACUGAGGUGGAAAAGCAGGGGAUCGCAAGACCUUGCGCUAUACGAGCGGCCGAUGUCAGAUUAGCUAGUUGGUAGGGUAAAGGCCUGCCAAGGCGACGAUCUGUAGCGGGUCUGAGAGGAUGAUCCGCCACACUGGGACUGAGACACGGCCCAGACUCCUACGGGAGGCAGCAGUGGGGAAUUUUGGACAAUGGGCGAAAGCCUGAUCUAGCCAUGCCGCGUGAGUGAAGAAGGCCUCGGUGUAAG